UAUAAAACGCCAAUAAACCCCCAAAAAAUCCCAAAUAAAUCCCGAAUAAAUCCUCAAUAAAUCCCAUAUAAAUCCCCAAUAAACCCCCAAUAAAUCCCAAAUAAAUCCCAUAUAAACUCCCAAUAAAUCCCAUAUAAACUCCCAAUAAAUCCCCAAAAAUCCUAUAUAAAUCCCCAAAAAAUCCCCAAUAAAUCCCAUAUAAAUCCCAUAUAAAACCCCAAUAAACCCCCAAUAAAUCCCCAAUAAAUCCCAUAUGAAAUCCCCAAUAAAUCCCAUAUAAAUCCCCAAUAAAUCCCAUAUAAAACCCCAAUAAAUCCCAUAUAAAUCCCCAAUAAAUCCCAUACAAAUCCCAUAUAAAUCCCAUAUAAAUCCCAUAUAACUCCCCAACAAAUCCCCAAUAAAUUCCAUAUAAAUUCCCAAUAAAUCCCAUAUAAAUUCCCAAUAAAUCCCAUAUAAAAGCCCAAUAAAUGCCAUAUAAACCCCCAAUAAAUCCCAUAUAAAACCCCAAUAAAUCCCCAAAAUAUCCCAUAUAAACCCCCAAAAAUCCCCAAUAAAUCCCAUAUAAAAUCCCAUAUAAAUCCCAUAUAAAACCCCAAUAAAUCCCCAAUAAAUCUGCCAUAAAUCCCAUCUAAAUCCCAUAUAAAACCCCAAUAAAUCCCAUAUAAAUCCCCAAUAAAUCCCAUAUAAAAUCCAUAUAAAUCUCAUAUAAAACCCCAAUAAAUCCUGUAUAAAUCCCGUAUAAAAUCCAUAUAAACCUGCUCGGGGUUGCUGAGGUUCUCGGACUCCUCCAGGACGUUUUCCCCCACGAAGAUCUCGGGGUUGCUGAGGUUCUCGGACUCCUCCAGGACGUUUUCCCCCACGAAAAUCUCGGGGUGGGCAAAGAGCAGCUCCAGCAGCUCCUCGAUGCAGCCCAGGCACUUCUGCCAUAGCUCAGGCUAAAAAUAAAUUAAAAAAUUUAUAAAAAAAUCCCA
Long non-coding RNA from Zonotrichia albicollis (white-throated sparrow), 971 nucleotides. The record is from Ensembl. NCBI's taxonomy places the organism in Eukaryota, Metazoa, Chordata, Aves, Passeriformes, Passerellidae.